GCUCUCUUUUUCCUACACAGUACAUAUUUGUCUUUAAAGCAUUGGUAUCAAUAGAAAAGAUAUUCUUUGGGCAACAGGGACUGCAAAUGAUUGAAGUAAACAAGUUCCAUUGCAAAGUAGAGAACCAGAAUCCAGAGUCACACUGUGGAAAUGUCAUUAGUGAAUGUGUGGUGAGAGCAGCAUCAGAAUGACCCCCAGGUUACACUACAUUUUACUGAAGAGAAGAAGGCAAGAACACCGUGCCCAGACAGGAAAACGACACAAAUUGAGGUUGUUCCUCUAAUCCAAUACACAUGCAACUGCAGAGACUUUAGACACAAAGUCUAGAGGAAGCCACCUGAAUGCACUGGUAUUGCUUCUUGAAGAAAUUCUGACUGUAGUUCACAACACACUAAUAUGUAAAAUAAUCAUUAUGCUAGAACUAUUGCUCUUGGUCUUGCUCUUAGACAGAAGAGAACAUUGCAACUCAGCAAUUCCAGGAAAAUAACCCUGGCUGUGAUCUAGAGAAAGGAAUGAAGAAAUUAACUCUCUUUGCAUAAAAUGGAAACGGAGAUGACUGUGUGUUCCAUUGAAGCUGAGCAUCAGAGUUGAAGACCCCUAUCUACCCAUACUUUGUCAAAAAAAUGAAGCCCGUUGACUAA
Pseudopipra pipra is the source of this 641-nucleotide long non-coding RNA. RefSeq lists it as uncharacterized. The transcript has 2 exons. The record is from RefSeq and is a predicted model, not a curated record. Lineage: Eukaryota; Metazoa; Chordata; Aves; Passeriformes; Pipridae.